This 118-nucleotide ribosomal RNA is filed under the name Saimiri boliviensis boliviensis (Bolivian squirrel monkey). Lineage: Eukaryota; Metazoa; Chordata; Mammalia; Primates; Cebidae. The record is from RNAcentral.
GUCUAUGGCCAUACCACCCUGAACGCGCCGGAUCGCGUCUGAUCUUGGAAGCUAAGCAGGGUCGAGCGUGGUUAGCACUUGGAUGGGAGACCGCCUGGGAAUACUGGUGCUGUAGGCU